UUCCUACGGGAGGCAGCAGUGGGGAAUAUUGCACAAUGGGGGAAACCCUGAUGCAGCAACGCCGCGUGAAGGAAGACGGUUUUCGGAUUGUAAACUUCUGUUCUUAGUGAAGAAAAAUGACGGUAGCUAAGGAGCAAGCCACGGCUAACUACGUGCCAGCAGCCGCGGUAAUACGUAGGGGGCAAGCGUUAUCCGGAUUUACUGGGUGUAAAGGGAGCGUAGACGGCAGGGCAAGUCUGGAGUGAAAGGCAGGGGCCCAACCCCUGGACUGCUCUGGAAACUGUCCGGCUGGAGUGCAGGAGAGG
This 305-nucleotide ribosomal RNA is filed under the name uncultured bacterium. RNAcentral's name for it is "bacterial SSU rRNA". It matches the Rfam family "Bacterial small subunit ribosomal RNA", at positions 336 to 657 of the family's 1533-position model. The record is from RNAcentral.